AGCUCUAGUUGCUGGAAAGUUCAAGAUCAAGGUCCAGCAGGAUUCAGUUUCUGGAGAGCUGAAGUUGCAGGGCAAGCAAAUGCUCUGAGUUCCAAAGAGUGACAAGCUCUGUGAGGAGAAACAGUACACACAAAUUUUCACCUUUGGCAAGACAUGAGAGGAUGAGAUGGUCACCGUAGAAGUGGGUAGAAUCCAAAGAUAGUCUGAGAGCAAUCAAAGGUUGUGGUGAGGAACAUGGAUGUUGAAAUGGUGGAAACAUGGGUAUGACAGCCGAUUCUGCCCCUCACUAGCUCUGUAAUUUGCAAGCUGUGAUAUCAAUCAGCAUUCUGCAACUAUGGUGUAAAUCAGCUGUUGGCCAACUUUCUUGAAAAAAAUCUUCAAAAUAUCCACAAAAUUAUGGAAGUAUUACAAGAUAAU
Long non-coding RNA from Lagenorhynchus albirostris (white-beaked dolphin), 417 nucleotides. RefSeq lists it as uncharacterized. NCBI's taxonomy places the organism in Eukaryota, Metazoa, Chordata, Mammalia, Artiodactyla, Delphinidae. The transcript has 4 exons. The record is from RefSeq and is a predicted model, not a curated record.